AAACUUUCAACAACGGAUCUCUUGGUUCUGGCAUCGAUGAAGAACGCAGCGAAAUGCGAUAAGUAAUGUGAAUUGCAGAAUUCAGUGAAUCAUCGAAUCUUUGAACGCACAUUGCGCCCAGUGGUAUUCCACUGGGCAUGCCUGUUCGAGCGUCAUU
This 157-nucleotide ribosomal RNA is filed under the name fungal endophyte sp. AP453. Its description in RNAcentral is "5.8S ribosomal RNA". It matches the Rfam family "5.8S ribosomal RNA". From Rfam's summary of the family: 5.8S ribosomal RNA (5.8S rRNA) is a component of the large subunit of the eukaryotic ribosome. It is transcribed by RNA polymerase I as part of the 45S precursor that also contains 18S and 28S rRNA. Lineage: Eukaryota; Fungi. The record is from RNAcentral.